This 52-nucleotide transfer RNA is filed under the name Gammarus roeselii. RNAcentral's name for it is "tRNA-Cys". Lineage: Eukaryota; Metazoa; Arthropoda; Malacostraca; Amphipoda; Gammaridae. The record is from RNAcentral.
UUUAGAAGUGAUACGUCGGGUUGCAAACCUGAAACAGCGCUAGCCUAAGUUA